ACGAGGCCACGCCAAGGCGGCUCUAAAGUUCGACGCUCCUCCCCAUUUUCAUUACAUAUUCAUGAGCCAAAAUAGCCAUUCGGAGGAGUGAGAAACGCGGGAAGAUGCUCCAUCAUGAAUUUCGGUUUUGAGUCGUUUGCUCUAGGAAAAAGCGAAACUUUAGCCCGAUCAACCAAUAUUAGUAGAAAUAUGCCAUGAAGUCACAGCGAGAGCGCGGUCCAUUGGGUUGAUCUCUUUCUGUUCCCGCUCGAUGACGCUCAAUUGCAAAGCUAAUGUUCGAGUUUAUUAUGUCCAUCAAAGAGCGGUCCUUUGGAGAAGGAUGGGGCAUCCGAAGCAGUGAUCCUUAAUCCAGUUCGAAAAUGAAGAUGCUUGAUGUACUUCAGCAAAAUGACCGUGGCGGCGGCCCCUUUAGAAGCUCACUGCAAUCUGGUUUCAUUUCACGCUAGAUGGCUCUUCUGUGAAUAACACAUUGGAUCUCUUUCGGAAGACAGUGGCUGAUGCUUAUUGCAUCGAAAAGUACGUAGAGAGCAGAUAAUUUUUUCAGAUGUUAGCCUUAAUGCGUUGACAAGACACAAGGUAUUGGGAUAAAUUAAAAUCCAGUAUAUUCAACAUUGUUAGCCAAGCAACAUCUCCAGAAAGAAUAAAAUGAAACGAAAGAGACUAUGAAUAAAUAGAGAUUGCAGUGAAAAGAAAAAUAAAGUGAAAGAAACCGAUAUGAGCUUUUUUGUGCUGAAACACAUUGAAAGAAUAAUGAACAAUAGAGGCUGUUGUGGCACUGAACCUGAAACAAACCUGGAGUAACCUGAAACAACCUGAAAAAUAUCUUAAUGAAAGUGAACUGAGAUUGCGCAAUAGAGAAAAUGCUAGUUAAUAAACAGUUGGUGGUA
Stegodyphus dumicola is the source of this 887-nucleotide long non-coding RNA. RefSeq lists it as uncharacterized. NCBI's taxonomy places the organism in Eukaryota, Metazoa, Arthropoda, Arachnida, Araneae, Eresidae. The record is from RefSeq and is a predicted model, not a curated record.